UUUACCACCAAGACAGUGAAACGAACAACCUUGUUGAGAGAUUUUUUUUCAGCAUGAAGUAUCAGUUUCUUCAUGGUUAUGCAAACAGAUGAGUUGAUGAACUACUUCUACUACUUAAUACCAAGGUGGUCACUUACUACAGGUAUCUGGAAGAUCUUCAUGGUGCUCAGAGGAUUUCUGAUUCCAAAACACAGGAUACUGCAGAAUCUGCAUUACGUAUGAAGAACAAAGGCCUUCAAAAUAAUUUUGUUUACAAAUCAGGUGGCCAUUGCACAGUGCCUUCAGAAGCAGAUAAAGCAAAAUGUUAUGCUGUGGAUUUAAUUAGCAUGAAAUAUGAAUGCACUGUUUCUG
Molecule: long non-coding RNA, 351 nt
Organism: Acipenser ruthenus (sterlet)
Lineage: Eukaryota; Metazoa; Chordata; Actinopteri; Acipenseriformes; Acipenseridae
Exons: 3
Source: RefSeq, a predicted model, not a curated record